GGGCGUUUAGCUCAGCUGGAUAGAGCGUCGGUCUCCGAAGCCGAAGGUCACUGGUUCGAAUCCAGUAACGCCCA
Molecule: transfer RNA, 74 nt
Filed under: Pseudomonadota bacterium
Lineage: Bacteria; Pseudomonadati; Pseudomonadota
Also listed under: 1 other name
Description: tRNA-Arg
Rfam family: tRNA
About the family: Transfer RNA (tRNA) molecules are approximately 80 nucleotides in length. Their secondary structure includes four short double-helical elements and three loops (D, anti-codon, and T loops).
Source: RNAcentral